This 1456-nucleotide ribosomal RNA is filed under the name Acinetobacter baumannii Naval-18. RNAcentral's name for it is "bacterial SSU rRNA". It matches the Rfam family "Bacterial small subunit ribosomal RNA". The record is from RNAcentral. Lineage: Bacteria; Pseudomonadati; Pseudomonadota; Gammaproteobacteria; Moraxellales; Moraxellaceae.
UGAACGCUGGCGGCAGGCUUAACACAUGCAAGUCGAGCGGGGGAAGGUAGCUUGCUACCGGACCUAGCGGCGGACGGGUGAGUAAUGCUUAGGAAUCUGCCUAUUAGUGGGGGACAACAUCUCGAAAGGGAUGCUAAUACCGCAUACGUCCUACGGGAGAAAGCAGGGGAUCUUCGGACCUUGCGCUAAUAGAUGAGCCUAAGUCGGAUUAGCUAGUUGGUGGGGUAAAGGCCUACCAAGGCGACGAUCUGUAGCGGGUCUGAGAGGAUGAUCCGCCACACUGGGACUGAGACACGGCCCAGACUCCUACGGGAGGCAGCAGUGGGGAAUAUUGGACAAUGGGGGGAACCCUGAUCCAGCCAUGCCGCGUGUGUGAAGAAGGCCUUAUGGUUGUAAAGCACUUUAAGCGAGGAGGAGGCUACUUUAGUUAAUACCUAGAGAUAGUGGACGUUACUCGCAGAAUAAGCACCGGCUAACUCUGUGCCAGCAGCCGCGGUAAUACAGAGGGUGCGAGCGUUAAUCGGAUUUACUGGGCGUAAAGCGUGCGUAGGCGGCUUAUUAAGUCGGAUGUGAAAUCCCCGAGCUUAACUUGGGAAUUGCAUUCGAUACUGGUGAGCUAGAGUAUGGGAGAGGAUGGUAGAAUUCCAGGUGUAGCGGUGAAAUGCGUAGAGAUCUGGAGGAAUACCGAUGGCGAAYGCAGCCAUCUGGCUAAUACUGACGCUGAGGUACGAAAGCAUGGGGAGCAAACAGGAUUAGAUACCCUGGUAGUCCAUGCCGUAAACGAUGUCUACUAGCCGUUGGGGCCUUUGAGGCUUUAGUGGCGCAGCUAACGCGAUAAGUAGACCGCCUGGGGAGUACGGUCGCAAGACUAAAACUCAAAUGAAUUGACGGGGGCCCGCACAAGCGGUGGAGCAUGUGGUUUAAUUCGAUGCAACGCGAAGAACCUUACCUGGCCUUGACAUACUAGAAACUUUCCAGAGAUGGAUUGGUGCCUUCGGGAAUCUAGAUACAGGUGCUGCACGGCUGUCGUCAGCUCGUGUCGUGAGAUGUUGGGUUAAGUCCCGCAACGAGCGCAACCCUUUUCCUUACUUGCCAGCAUUUCGGAUGGGAACUUUAAGGAUACUGCCAGUGACAAACUGGAGGAAGGCGGGGACGACGUCAAGUCAUCAUGGCCCUUACGGCCAGGGCUACACACGUGCUACAAUGGUCGGUACAAAGGGUUGCUACACAGCGAUGUGAUGCUAAUCUCAAAAAGCCGAUCGUAGUCCGGAUUGGAGUCUGCAACUCGACUCCAUGAAGUCGGAAUCGCUAGUAAUCGCGGAUCAGAAUGCCGCGGUGAAUACGUUCCCGGGCCUUGUACACACCGCCCGUCACACCAUGGGAGUUUGUUGCACCAGAAGUAGCUAGCCUAACUGCAAAGAGGGCGGUUACCACGGUGUGGCCGAUGACUGGGGUG